AUUGAACGCUGGCGGCAGGCCUAACACAUGCAAGUCGAGCGGAAACGGCAGUAUUGAAGCUUCGGUGGAUUUACUGGACGUCGAGCGGCGGACGGGUGAGUAACGGCUGGGAACCUGCCCUGACGAGGGGGAUAACCGUUGGAAACGACGGCUAAUACCGCAUAAUGUCUACGGACCAAAGGUGGCCUCUACAUGUAAGCUAUCGCGUUGGGAUGGGCCCAGUUAGGAUUAGCUAGUUGGUAAGGUAACGGCUUACCAAGGCGACGAUCCUUAGCUGGUUUGAGAGGAUGAUCAGCCACACUGGGGCUGAGACACGGCCCAGACUCCUACGGGAGGCAGCAGUGGGGAAUAUUGCACAAUGGGGGAGACCCUGAUGCAGCCAUGCCGCGUGUGUGAAGAAGGCCUUCGGGUUGUAAAGCACUUUCAGCAGUGAGGAAGGUAGUGUACUUAAUACGUGCAUUGCUUGACGUUAGCUGCAGAAGAAGCACCGGCUAACUCCGUGCCAGCAGCCGCGGUAAUACGGAGGGUGCGAGCGUUAAUCGGAAUUACUGGGCGUAAAGCGCAUGCAGGCGGUUUGUUAAGUCAGAUGUGAAAGCCCGGGGCUCAACCUCGGAACCGCAUUUGAAACUGGCAGGCUAGAGUCUUGUAGAGGGGGGUAGAAUUUCAGGUGUAGCGGUGAAAUGCGUAGAGAUCUGAAGGAAUACCAGUGGCGAAGGCGGCCCCCUGGACAAAGACUGACGCUCAGAUGCGAAAGCGUGGGUAGCAAACAGG
Molecule: ribosomal RNA, 771 nt
Filed under: Salinivibrio costicola
Lineage: Bacteria; Pseudomonadati; Pseudomonadota; Gammaproteobacteria; Vibrionales; Vibrionaceae
Description: bacterial SSU rRNA
Rfam family: Bacterial small subunit ribosomal RNA
Source: RNAcentral